Molecule: microRNA precursor, 205 nt
Filed under: Oryza barthii
Lineage: Eukaryota; Viridiplantae; Streptophyta; Magnoliopsida; Poales; Poaceae
Description: MIR812 microRNA precursor family
Rfam family: MIR812 microRNA precursor family
Source: Rfam by way of RNAcentral
AAAAUGACAAACCCUGGUUUCCGUGUCCAACGUUCGACCGUCCGUCUUAUUUGAAAAAAUUAUAAAAAAAAAUUAAAAGACAAGUCACGCAUAAAAUAUUAAUCAUGUUUUAUCAUCUAACAACAAUGAAAAUACGAAUUAUAAAAAAAUUUCAUAUAAGACGAACAGUCAAAGUUGGACAUGGAAACCCAGGGUUUGCCUUUUU